RNAcentral lists this ribosomal RNA (253 nucleotides) under uncultured bacterium. Its description in RNAcentral is "partial 16S ribosomal RNA". It matches the Rfam family "Bacterial small subunit ribosomal RNA", at positions 524 to 776 of the family's 1533-position model. The record is from RNAcentral.
UACGGGGGGGGCAAGCGUUGUUCGGAAUUACUGGGCGUAAAGGGCUCGUAGGUGGCCAACUAAGUCAGACGUGAAAUCCCUCGGCUUAACCGGGGAACUGCGUCUGAUACUGGAUGGCUUGAGUUCGGGAGAGGGAUGCGGAAUUCCAGGUGUAGCGGUGAAAUGCGUAGAUAUAGGAAGGAAUACCAGUGGCGGAAGCGGCCUCCUGGAUCGAUACUGACGCUGAGGCGCGAAAGCGUGGGGAGCAAACAGG